GUGUAGCUCAAUGGAAGAGUGCUUGACUAGUAUACAUGAGACCCUGGGUUUGAUCCCCAGCAC
RNAcentral lists this transfer RNA (63 nucleotides) under Heterocephalus glaber (naked mole-rat). It matches the Rfam family "tRNA", at positions 5 to 66 of the family's 71-position model. From Rfam's summary of the family: Transfer RNA (tRNA) molecules are approximately 80 nucleotides in length. Their secondary structure includes four short double-helical elements and three loops (D, anti-codon, and T loops). Lineage: Eukaryota; Metazoa; Chordata; Mammalia; Rodentia; Bathyergidae. The record is from Rfam by way of RNAcentral.